This is a long non-coding RNA of Pan troglodytes (chimpanzee), 2019 nucleotides long. RefSeq lists it as uncharacterized. The transcript has 5 exons. The record is from RefSeq and is a predicted model, not a curated record. NCBI's taxonomy places the organism in Eukaryota, Metazoa, Chordata, Mammalia, Primates, Hominidae.
GAUUAAGAAAUCUGCUUCUCCUUUCACAAGUGGCCAUCAAGAACAGCUGGUUUUCUAAGAGGCUUCCGAGAUUUGAAAAACGGUGGCUAAUGAUGACAACAGCAACAGCACUGAGCACAGAAAACUCCACAGGCCUGGGCUCGGCUUAUCGCACAGCCUCCAUCUCUGGAUGCCCUGAUUCAAGGAGAUUCAAAACCCGUGUCACUGCUGCCAUCUUCCUUGAAUCCCCUUAAAUCCUCAUGGAUUUGCUGACAUUGGGAGCAUCCUGAAAGAGUCCCCAUGCUAGGGUGGCUGCAGUAACAGGUUCUCCCCACUCCAGAAAAAAUCAAAUCAGAUUGUGAAUUUAUUCCCUGACAUUAACACAUGGCAUUACAGGAGCAUGUACAUCACAUGGUCAAUUUAUUGGCAUGAGGAUUAUGUCAUCAGGGAAUAAAUGGGAAAUUCUCAAGGGCUACAUAAAAUAGGAGCAGGGCUCCAGGAAAAGCAAUUGUGAUGUGUGGUCCACGCUGCAUACUUAGAGCCAAGAGUAGGUUAAGUCUCAACUCUGCUACUUUUUAGAGAGGGAAACUGAAGCUCAGAAAGGCUGAAUGGUUUGCUCAUGGAACACACAGCGUGCAAGCAGCAUAUGCCCACGAUCGCCAAGGCCUCAGCCGCUCCACCGGCAUGCACGGAGGCUCUUCCUGUUUCCCACGCACCUGGCUGGAGGCCUCUCAGGGUGCAAAGGACCUCAAAGGAAGGUGCCUGGCUCAGCGGGGAUGCAGGGGCUUCCUGGAGGAGAGGACUCUUGGCCAAGGCUGGAACCAUGCACAGGAGUUGAGAAGGAAGGAAAGAGGAGGGGGCUUCCAGGAGGGCAGGCUGGAGGGGGCAGAGAUUGUGGCCUCUGUGGGGUUAGGUGAGGCUGGAAUAGGGGAAAUAACAAAGAGGGGAGCUAAGAAAUGUGUUUCAUCCAAAGACAAGUGGGAGCCAUGGACGGUUUUCAGUAGGGGAAUAAAAGGGUCAGCUGGUCUUGAGAUGGUCCCAGCAGGCAAUGACCAAGUGCAGGGAGACUGUAGGAGGCACCACGGAAUCCAAGGGAGAGGACGGGGCCUGCAAUGGGCGGUAACCCUGGGCUGGGAGGAAGCAUGGCCCCAAGAGCUGGUUAGGAGGGGAUGUGGGGACUAAUUGCAUGUGGGGUUCAGGGAAAGUUCAGGUAGGCACCGCAUUCCUGGUGUACGUGCGGAGAAGUGACCCAGCAGAGGUGGCGGGCGGGCUUGACCACUGAGCUGAGCUGUCUGUGCUGAGCAGGCAUCUGGAUUCCAGUCGGGACUCAGGACAGAAACCAGACUGCUGGUCUGGGUUUGGGAGUCACUGGCAGGUGUGGUGAGACUGGCUGAACCUUUUGGAAUGGAUGAAUAUGCCCAAGAGAAUGUUCAGAGGGUCAGGAGAGAAACAGGCCCAGGGCAGGCUCAGGUAGUGCCAACUGUUGGGAUCUCAUCGUGCAGCUUCAGCUGCAGGAAGCUUGAAGCCCGGGGACUGAGUGGGGCAAGGGCAGUUCAGACUGAAGGAAGGAAAGUGCAUGGCCAGGCGGGACCCAAGACCAAGAGGGACUCUACUUACCAAGGAUGGGGACUUUUCUGCUUUGCUCUCCUGUAGUAGAAACAUGGGGGAAGCUGCCCGACCCUACAGAGACAAGAGUUUCCUGCCAGGGAGGGCCCAGAUGUGAGUCAGCUGCGGGGAGGGAUAGCCUUGGCUGUGGGGGCUGCUUCCAAGGUCAGCAGGCAAAAGCGUUAAAGGCCUCCCGAGCCCCAGCCCUCCAGCGCUGCCUGCCCUCUUGUGAACACUCCGGUUUCUUAGGGAAGCCUCUCAUGGGCACGGGUAGUCACCGAUGCUCUGGCUUUCCUGGAACAGCCUGACUUUCAAAACAUUUUAGAUUUUUCUGUAGGAUUGGGUUCAUCAGCUGUAUAACUAAAUGUGAUGCAUUUCUAUUUCUACGUAACACUUUGUACACAAUGUUUUUAUGUUAACCAACAUGACUGAACC